This 253-nucleotide ribosomal RNA is filed under the name uncultured bacterium. RNAcentral's name for it is "partial 16S ribosomal RNA". It matches the Rfam family "Bacterial small subunit ribosomal RNA", at positions 524 to 776 of the family's 1533-position model. The record is from RNAcentral.
UACGUAGGGUCCGAGCGUUGUCCGGAAUUACUGGGCGUAAAGAGCUCGUAGGUGGUUUGUCGCGUUGUUCGUGAAAACUCACAGCUCAACUGUGGGCGUGCGGGCGAUACGGGCAGACUAGAGUACUGCAGGGGAGACUGGAAUUCCUGGUGUAGCGGUGGAAUGCGCAGAUAUCAGGAGGAACACCGGUGGCGAAGGCGGGUCUCUGGGCCAUUACUGACGCUGAGGAGCGAAAGCGUGGGGAGCGAACAGG